RNAcentral lists this ribosomal RNA (439 nucleotides) under uncultured bacterium. RNAcentral describes it as "partial 16S ribosomal RNA". It matches the Rfam family "Bacterial small subunit ribosomal RNA", at positions 339 to 795 of the family's 1533-position model. The record is from RNAcentral.
CUACGGGGCGCAGCAGUGAGGAAUAUUGCACAAUGGGGGGAACCCUGAUGCAGCAACGCCGCGUGGAGGAUGACGCAUUUCGGUGUGUAAACUCCUUUUAUAUGUCAAGAAAAUGACGGUAGCAUAUGAAUAAGCACCGGCUAACUCCGUGCCAGCAGCCGCGGUAAUACGGAGGGUGCAAGCGUUACUCGGAAUCACUGGGCGUAAAGGACGCGUAGGCGGGCUUGUAAGUCAGGUGUGAAAUCCUACAGCUUAACUGUAGAACUGCACUUGAAACUACGAGCCUAGAGUAUGGGAAGGGGAGAUGGAAUUAGUGGUGUAGGGGUAAAAUCCGUAGAUAUCACUAGGAAUACCUAAAGCGAAGGCGAUCUCCUGGAACAUAACUGACGCUAAGGCGUGAAAGCGUGGGGAGCAAACAGGAUUAGAUACCCGUGUAGUC